GACGAACGCUGGCGGCGUGCUUAACACAUGCAAGUCGAACGGUAAGGCUCCAGCUUGCUGGGGUACACGAGUGGCGAACGGGUGAGUAACACGUGGGUGACCUGCCCUGCACUUCGGGAUAAGCCUGGGAAACUGGGUCUAAUACCGGAUAGGACCAUGGUGUGGAUACUGUGGUGGAAAGUUUUUUCGGUGUGGGAUGGGCCCGUGGCCUAUCAGCUUGUUGGUGGGGUAAUGGCCUACCAAGGCGGCGACGGGUAGCCGGCCUGAGAGGGUGGACGGCCACAUUUGGACUGAGACACGGCCCAGACUCCUACGGGAGGCAGCAGUGGGGAAUAUUGCACAAUGGGCGGAAGCCUGAUGCAGCGACGCCGCGUGGGGGAUGACGGCCUUCGGGUUGUAAACUCCUUUCACCAUCGACGAAGGGUUUCUGACGGUAGAUGGAGAAGAAGCACCGGCUAACUACGUG
RNAcentral lists this ribosomal RNA (466 nucleotides) under uncultured bacterium. RNAcentral describes it as "partial 16S ribosomal RNA". It matches the Rfam family "Bacterial small subunit ribosomal RNA", at positions 28 to 507 of the family's 1533-position model. The record is from RNAcentral.